Molecule: unclassified non-coding RNA, 348 nt
Filed under: plant metagenome
Description: partial contains 5.8S ribosomal RNA, internal transcribed spacer 2, and large subunit ribosomal RNA
Rfam family: 5.8S ribosomal RNA (bases 1-103)
Source: RNAcentral
AAUGCGAUAAGUAAUGUGCAUUGCAGAAUUCAGUGAAUCAUCGAAUCUUUGAACGCACCUUGCGCUCCUUGGUAUUCCGAGGAGCAUGCCUGUUUGAGUGUCAUGGAAUUCUCAACUCUAUUUGCUUUUGUGAAUAGAGCUUGGAUUUGGAGGUUUAUUGCCGGUACUUGUGAUCGGCUCCUCUUGAAUGCAUUAGCUCGAACCUUUGCGGAUCAGCUAUCGGUGUGAUAAUUGUCUACGCCGUUGCAGUGAAGCAUAUCAAUGGGCUCGGCUUCCAAUCGUCCUUUACUGGACAAUGACUUUGACCUUUGACCUCAAAUCAGGUAGGAUUACCCGCUGAACUUAAGC